This 484-nucleotide long non-coding RNA is filed under the name Androctonus crassicauda. Lineage: Eukaryota; Metazoa; Arthropoda; Arachnida; Scorpiones; Buthidae. The record is from RNAcentral.
CGCAAGUCAAGUCUUUUUGCGUGAUUCAUCAAACAUCCAAUGAAAAAGCUUCUUACAUUGGCAGAAGUAAAUUCUAGUGAUACAGAAAUAUUGCAUAUUGGAAGAGUCAGAAAUGACGUCUACUUUGAAUUUUCGAAAGCAAAAACCAAAUUUUACUAGAAGUGAAAUAGAGUGUAGAAAAGAAUUGGUAAAAAGAGAGUUAGGUGGGAUUUAUAAAACGCCUAAUGACCAAACAAAAGAGUGGGAGGAAAUAACUUUAAAUUCAGUUAACUGUAGGAGUGAUAGUAGAGGAAAAUUAAAGAUAAAUGGCUCGAUCUGAAGCCGAGAUGUAAAAAGAAGGCGAUUUGUUUUUUAAAAGUAUGGAAAAAUAGGCUGAGGACUAUCUGAAUUAUCAUUAACUCCUUUAGAAAGAAAAAAGUUAUUGCAGUAUAUGGCCAAUCAUCAAUAUAUGGUUUAAACAUAUACAGUAUAACUCACAGUACAC